CUCUGACCUGCAAUCCUGGGGUUAGGGGAGAGGGGUGAGCUAGAAAGCCCAGUGAGUAGAAACUAUAAAACAUUACGUUUAAAACAUAUGCAUACAUGGAAUGCAUCACAUCACAGCAAAUCAUAUCAAGGAUAGAGUUGUCACCGAUAGCCCUCUACAAGUCUAAGGUGCCCGACUCUCGUCGGGGCUCCCUAGAACCUCUUCUCAAGAUAACAUGUCCGACUAUGCCAGGGGCGAUUAGGCCACCCUGGACUUCUCUAUCAUCUCAUAACAUGUCCGACUAUGCCAGGGGCGAUUAGGCCACCCUAGACUUCUCUGUUACCUCAUGACAUAUUACCAGGGGUGAUACGGCCCACUGGUCUUUCUAUCUCGUAUCAUAUAGUAUCAUGUCAUAUCAUACCAUCUCAUACAUAUCAUCUCAUAUAUAUCAUCUCAUGUCACGUUGAGGGCUACGGAUCACUCAACAUCCAUCCACAUCAACAACACAUUAUGCAGUGCAUCAUAUUCGUGAGUUCUAAUGCAACAACCUAAAAUAUAUCAUGGCAUUCGUGAUGCAUGAAACAUGCUAAAAUACAUUUAAUUUCUCAAUUUAAAAGAUUUAAGUUAGUUCCAC
RNAcentral lists this long non-coding RNA (613 nucleotides) under Manihot esculenta (cassava). RNAcentral describes it as "long non-coding RNA (MESC_LNC007676)". The record is from RNAcentral. Lineage: Eukaryota; Viridiplantae; Streptophyta; Magnoliopsida; Malpighiales; Euphorbiaceae.